This is a non-coding RNA of Paramormyrops kingsleyae, 9238 nucleotides long. The record is from RefSeq and is a predicted model, not a curated record. Lineage: Eukaryota; Metazoa; Chordata; Actinopteri; Osteoglossiformes; Mormyridae.
UAGGCGAGUAGAAAGAGGGGCGCAAAUGGGCAUUAAGGCGCUGCAGUGACACAGCGGGGGACCGAGGCGUCAUAACUAGCAACUUUCUAUGGAGGCGACGCUAUAUUCGUGUGGCAUAUUACAGUAUGGAGGAAUUUUUGCUACGUGCCAAAUCUGUGCUGGAAUCUGGUUCUCAGUGUGCAGGAAUUCAUGCAGUUUUGGGUCGAGAGGAGGCUGAUGUGGACUCUGUGGCUGCAUCGCUGGGCUACGCGUAUUUCCUCAGCCAGAAGGAGCCCGGGGACUGCCUAUGUGUGCCCAUCCUGAACCAGCACCGGUCCCAGCCGGCUGUGCCAGAUGAGACCCGGGCCUUUCUGCAGAGGCUCGGCGUGGCAGAGUCCGCCAUGCUUUGGAGAGACGACAUCGACCAGUUCAUGCUGCAUGCAGCCAGGAAGCUGACGGUCACGCUUCUGGACAGUGACGCCAUCAUCGGGGGGAAGGCAGGCUCCCUGGCAUCAAGCGAUGUCAAAGUGAUCCAUCGCUCCGAGCGACGGGGGGGAGCCAGCGAGGCUGCUUCGCUGACAGCAGCGGUCGCCAGGGAGAUUCUCCAAGAGGCAUCGGAGCGGCUGGCGCCCCCCCUGGUCGGGCUCCUCCGAGAAGCCCUCCUGGUGUUGUCCAGGGAGCGCCUAACCAAAGAUGGCCGCCUUCCCCCCGCCUGCGAGGAGCUCCUCGGGGAGCUGGAGCGAGGGUGUCCACAGCAGGACCAAGGGGGCCAUUCGGGCGGGAGCGCAGCUAGAGGAGACAUCCGAGGUAUAAGCACUGAUGAAAUCCUCCUGAGGGAGCAGAAGGAGCUGUUGGACGGGGACGUCAAGCUGCUGAUCAGCGUGGUGUCCUUGGACCUGGAGGACUACAGUACCCAUCCAAGUGUCAUUUGGGAUUUGAAGUCAUUUUGUGAUCGCCAUGGUUACCAGGGGCUUGUUCUGGUGUCAUCUACCCUAUAUGAAGUACAUCAUCAGUGUCAACAGGUGGCAGUGUACUCUACGAACAAGGAUAUUUUCAGCCAGAUUUGCUGCGAGUUGGAGGAAGCCAAUAUCUCCAGCCUGGACGUGGAGCCGCUCAGCUGCACACUACAUGCACUUCAGCUGUAUAGGUGCAGGAACACAGCAGUCUACACCGAACAGGUGGUCAUGCUCGUCAAGGAGUUCCUGGAAAGGAGGCAGCGCUCGUUGGCUCAGAACAGUCGGACAUCAUCCACCGAAGGCGUCGCCGGCAGCGCGCCCCUCUCACAGGGCUCCUCCGGCAUCACGGACAUGUACAGCUCCGACGCCGAGCCCGCCUCCACCAUCUCCAUCCACUCCCCGGAGAACCCCGCUGAGCUGAGCGAGCCGCAGCCAGCCUUCGGGGAAGGGGGCCCCGAGCUGCUGAGCCCCGACAGCGGCAUGGCCACGGUGCGCAGUAGCCGCUCCUCCAAAGAGAGCUCGGUGUUCCUCAGCGACGACAGUCCCAUGGGAGAGACGACUGGGUUCUUCCAGAACCCAGCUCUCGGCCUGUGCGUGGUCGCCACUGCUGUAGAUCAAGGCGCACAAGAACACAGGCCCUCUGUGAGAAAUAAAAGUGACAACUUUGACCUUCUUAGUUUAGAUCCCAUGCACGAUUGCAGCAGCUCUCCUCCAGAUGACGAUGUCAAACUUUGUGGUGCUACCAAAGAACACAUGGCUUCCAGCCUGUUAGAAGAUGAUGAGUUGAGUCUUAUAGAUUUCUAUGAUUCUGAUGGGCAGAGAGUAAGUGAGGGAAGCUAUUUGUCAGAGGAUAGAUUUACCUUGCCUUGUAUGGAGCAGUCUGGGAGUGAUGGCUCAGAUACCAGAAUCCCACCCACACCCAUGAACAGUUUUGUUGAAACCUCACCUCUUAGUCAUGGACUGCCAAAGUUCUUUUCAGAAGAUAUCAUGGAGAAAAUCAAUGGAAUUGUAAACAAAGAGAGUGUCUCAUCAUCUGAUCCCUGGGAUGACCUUAUGUCAGACACCAAGGGGUCAACUUCAGAUGAUGCUAUUAUAUGGAGUCUAGCAGAAGUGAGAGAUAUUGGUGAGAAAAGUCCAGAUAUUGGCCUGAACAGUAGGAUGGAACUAAAGGGGACUGGAGGGAGAGAAAAGGAAGAAUAUCUAAUAAAGGAGGGCAGCCAGUCAAGUGACUCACUCCUCUGGUCUCCUCCUGCUAUGAAAGAUGCAUUAGAUGUAUUUGAAUGGAACGUGGAUGUAUCAGACUCCAACCAAGCUGCAACUCAACAUGAACAGGUAUCUGACGUAACAUUAGCCAACACGUUAAUUCAGCAAGUUAUAUGUAAUUUAUGUGAUGACCUUAACAGUGACACACUGGAAGCAAAUGAAUCCAUGGCCAUAUCCUCAAAACCUGGAGUUCAUAUAGAGAAUAAUGAUAAUGGCAAAGACCCACAUUAUACAUGCUCAGAGGGUACUAAUUCAGAAAUAUUAUUUGUGCAAAAUGAUUCAAGCUGUACUGAGAGCACCAAAAACGUUUGUUUGGUCUCAGACAUUACAAAUGAUUUCCAUUUAAAAGCAAACCUACAAUUAAUAGAAAAGAAAGACUGUCUGUCCUACAGUGACAGUGUGAUUGCAUCUAGAUCAGAGGGUCUCUCUGCAGAUUAUGAUCUCUCACUGAUAGAACUAAAUGAAACAGAAGUAUCAUCAUUAACUAACAAAGAAAUAGACCUGAUGCAUGUGGACAGAGACUUUUCACUUCUUAAAUUACGAAGCCAGCUCACUGAGUCACCGGGCGACUUAACUGUUUCUCACAAGAAUGCAAACGAAAGUAUUGGGGAAUCACAAGAAAAAAGCUCAUUGCUUUUAGAGGAUCUUUUCCUGCAGAAAAUCGAAAAUGAACCCCCUAAUGAAAAGGACCCAAGUCCAGACACCUCCAGUACAUGGAACCCCUUUGUUCAAACAGUUCCACCAGCUGAAGAGUACAAUAGCUGGGUCCCGAACAUAGGUGUCUCAGACAUGUGGAGUUCAGGAAGCCUUGGUGAUAUUCAGUCAGUCCCAGUGGGUGAAGAGAAGUAUGUUCCAUUUUUUAAUACAGAAGGGUCAUCAGUGGUUGAAAAGCCAAGAACAAUGGAAGCACAAACGAAAUUCACGCCUGAAACCUGCAAAGGGGGUGGACCCCCUCGGUCAGAUAUUGACCCUUCUUCUGUUGAGAAUGGAAUCCAGACAUCCUGCGCCAUUUUUAAUCUGGAGUCACUUGAUAUGUGGAACACAACUAUUUGUGAUGAUUCACAGUCAACCAUCACAAGUCCUGAAACAGCUGACCACUCAGAGGCAUCUGAGCAGUGCAGUGGCCGCGCCCAGGGAGACUCCAUGGACUGUCUUUCUCAGGAUAUCCACCGAAGCAUGGAAAUGUGGAACACCACAAUACAAGAGGACACCCAGUCUGCUAGUCCUCAAACAAGAGAUGACGGCAUAGAAGUAGGAUCAUGUGAAACACCUUUCAGAAAUGACUCGCAGGAAGGCCAUGAGGACACAGACAUAGGAAGUUCUAAGGACACAGAAAAUAUUCAGUCUGGGCAUUGGAGCUGGAGUAAAACUAGCACAGAUAUCUAUGGCCCAGAAAGUCGGAAGGAGUCAAAAACAACAAAUUAUAUUCCGGAUUCCCAAAUUCUGUCAGUUGGUAGGUCAUUGAAUGAGACAUCAGCUAGGUCUGAUCGAGCUGCUGGACUGUUACAAGAAAACAGCAUUGAUAGUGGCCAACGCCACACUUUCAAUGAACUAACAUUAGACACCAAAACCGACAUAAUACUAAAAAUGGAUAAUAAGAACAUAUACAAACAAACGGAGCUGGAUCAGGUUAAUGAUUUUGAACAUAGACAGAAAUUUCUAGAUCAUCAGUCAUCGGAGAAGAACCUUCACACUAUACCCAUCACUAAACAAAUGGUGAAAUCAGUAUCACAGUAUGACAAUGUAGACCCUGAAGUUCAGUGGGAUCAAGCCUCCCCAAACUUCAUGACUUAUCAGGAGACAAACACACUCACUGAAACAUCAUCACAAAUAGAAGAUCAGUCAACAUUUACAGAAGAAUGUAGACAUGAUGCAGCAUCUACUGAGCUAACCUUUUAUUUUGGGCCAGGUUUACUUCAUGAUAGAGAUGGUUGUGCUCCAGAAACUGAGAGGGUCUUUCCAGUACAUACUAGGGAGACAGCUUAUGGGAAAUAUCAGGUAGAACGAGCCAAGGAAACUGAUCACAGAAACCUGGAUUUCUCGACUCCACAGAGACAUUUACAUUCUUCAAAGGAUAAGGUAGUUCCUCAAAUUGAAAUAUGUGAUAAUUCGCAAACAGAAACACUUUUCAUUAAUGACCUAAACCAACAAAAAGAAGACAUUUUCAAAAAUGCAACAAAGUUCCCAUCUAAUUUGUGUCCCGCUGACAGCACAGAUGAUGAAAAAACCACAAGGCAAGAGCCAAGUCAUCAUAUGAGAAAUGGAUCUCUCACAUUAUUGGGGGUUGAAGGGGAAGGUCACAUAUCCAAACCUGUCAGCAGCCCUGAAUCAGGAAGAAACAUGUCAGAUGGUAGUUGGGUGGAUAGUGAAUAUGAAAAUGAUGUUGAAUCGAUGGAGGAAACAAGCCACUUCUCACCAUUUAUACUUUUGGAUGAUUCACUCCACUCAGAUAGCAGCAUGUUUCCAUUAAACCAGGUAGAUGAUUCUGUCACAAGUGACCUUCCAAGUGCUGAUGGGGCAGCGUACCUUAGCAAGGAGAACAACAAGUCCUCCAACUGUAGUGACUUCUUGUCUGUUGAGGAAUUAGAAAUCUCAGAGUUGCUAGAAUAUCCAAAUAUCUGCACUCGAGAAUCUGAAGAUAUCUUCUUGGCUACUCCCACACAAGUAGAUGAACAUCCACACAUGGCUUGUAUUGACUCUGAGACCAGAGCAGUUGCCCUAGAGGCAAUGAGCCCUACAUUGUGGGAUACAGACUCACUGGACAGAAAGCAAGACAGCUCUGAACGCCUGCAACUUGAGAGCCGAGACGAUGUGAGAUCUUUCUCAGACGGGGAUUCCUCGGGGUUGGAGAUGGAGUAUAUUAUUGUUUUGGGGCAAGGGACAGUCCAGGAAGGUGAUGGAAAAAGCAGAACAGAAAACAUUACUCCAGAUCUAUUAAGCAGUCUAGUAGAUAUAAAUAAACCUUGCACAAAGGAUGCACAUGUAAAAAAUACCUGCCAAAGGGAUACAAAUGUAAAAAGUUCAGAAAUAAAUGCAGAGUUCCAGCUAAACACCAACUUCCCCAACCACUGUGAAGAACCUGCAGAUGUGAAAAGCAGUGCUUCAGUCAAGGACACAUUUACUCGUUUUAAAGCCAAAGAUGACGUUUAUGUCCGGUCACAGAUUUCGCUGGAAGAUUCGGAUGAUGAGGGGCGAUCUACUCUAGGAACCCAAGGGUGGACACUGCUGGAUAGGCAGAAAAAGCUGGUGGAUUCCCCUGAAGAAAGCUCUGCAAUAACUGAUAGCCCUCUAGGUGGUUCAGGGGGGAUUAUAAAGGAUAUGGACUCACCAUUGGCCAGCAAUGCCAGGAAAGGAGCAGAUGGCAUCUUUUUGCAUUUCACAGGCUCUGACAUCAACUGUGUGGUUCAUGAGAGAGAGAAGCAAAAUAUCAUCCAUGGCUUUAGCCAACACACUCAUUUGGCUCAGCCACCUCCAGUGGGCAUAAUCCCAGUGCCAAUGAACGUGAAAUCAGUUGGAAGGAAUAGAGAACCUGAAUGCACAGUUGGGGAUCAGAUCUAUAAAGAUUAUGAGGAAGUCAUAGCAGAGCAGCUAAUAGAUCAGGAAGACGUAGCCGAAGUGAUGAGGGAGAAGACAGGGAGUUCUUCUGCAGGAAUUCUGCAGGCUGCUGGCUUCAGGGGCUUCAGGCAAGAAUGUCUCCCCGUGGGGAACCUUGGUGACUCAGAGGCUGGUCUGAUUGUUCAAUGGACGGAGAACAAAGAUCUCGCCCAGUGCACGAUUUCAGGGUCCCCAACAGAGGAUGUGGGAAUGGACAACCAGUAUGACGAGGACAUGACGAGUCCCAGUGGGGCAGAGAACAGACCAGCGCCCCCUUCCUCACUGGACCUGCAUGGGACCCAUCCCCAGCGCAAGAAGCUGGCAGCCCCAGAGAUUAACCUGUCACUGGAUCAGAGCGAGGGCUCCAUCCUGUCGGACGAUGCUCUGGACACACCGGACGACCUGGACAUCAACGUGGACGACAUGGACACGCCGGAUGAGGCGGAUUCCCUGGACUAUGCCGGCCAUGGCAACGAGCAGGAGUGGCAGGAAUCCCAACAGGACACAGUGGGAGAGCCCACCGAGGCCAUCCCAGAGUACACCACAGAGGAAGAACGGCAGGAUGCUAAACUGUGGAGGACCGUCAUCAUCGGCGAGCAGGAGCACCGCAUUGACAUGAAGUGCAUCGGGCCAUACCAGAGAGUCAUCUCCCAUGGAGGUUAUUAUGGCGACCUCAAUGCCAUCAUUGUGUUUGCUGCAUGCUUUCUGCCUGACAGCAACCGGGAUAAUUACCAUUAUAUUAUGGAGAACCUCUUCCUCUAUGUGAUAAGCACCCUGGAGCUUAUGGUAGCAGAGGACUACAUGAUCGUGUAUCUGAAUGGAGCCACACCACGCAGGAGAAUGCCUGGCCUGGGCUGGCUGAAGAAGUGCUAUCACAUGAUAGACAGGAGGCUGAGGAAGAAUCUGAAAUCCUUCAUUAUCGUCCACCCUUCUUGGUUCAUCAGAACCAUCCUUGCGGUUACCAGGCCCUUCAUCAGCUCAAAAUUCAGCAGCAAGAUUAAGUAUGUCAACAGUUUGGCAGAACUGAGUGAGCUGAUCCCCAUGGAGUAUGUGCACAUUCCAGAGAGCAUAGUCAAGUGAGUUUUUAGUCCUUGCACAGUUGGAUAUGUACAAAGAAGUCAUAUAAAAUAUCAGCUUGUUUGCAUAAUGAUAUUUUUAAAAUCCUGUAAUACCUGUUUGAACACUUCACACACGUGAGUAAUGUUUAAAAUUAGCUAGCAGGUGUGGAGUGUUUAGGUUCUGAUGAAUGAAAUCAUUAGAGAAUUUAAUGUACAUUUAUUUGAGUUCUGUGAACAUUCCCUCUUUGGGGUUUACAGGCCCACAGUGAUCUUAAAAAUGUCCCCCCAUUCAUAAUCACUUGUUGCUAAAAUUGUGGAAACACUUCUAAUUUUUAGAUAUUGCAGAACUUCAUUCAGCUGUUGCUCCAGUUACUUACUUAAUCACGCAAUGUAUGAUAUUUGUAAGAUUCUUUGUUUAUAAACAUUACCACCAGUAUCUGUGUAGCCAUCUUUAAAGCGUAAUACCAAAAAUGCUCAGAGUUUCCACAAUUUUGGCCACUAGUGUACAUCUGUUUAAAAAUAGUGAGAUCUUUGUAAACCUCUGUAAUUAAGAAAGUUUUUCUCUUCAGUGUCGAAUCUCAACAGUCUUUAUGUUUUAAAUAUUGUAAUUGAUGUUGUAGUUCCUCAACAAGAUCAGCAAUUGCCACAGUGAGUAGGCAGUAAACAUUUGGAGCAAGGAUGGGUCUUUGCUGCGGUGCUCUGACACUGUGAGGGGCACUAGAGAGAUUUGCAGCAGACCACAGGGAAACCUUAACUCAGUACUUACCCUGGAAAAUUCUCCAGUGUCAAAUAUUGUAGUACUCUGUACCAUUACUUGCAAUGGAGUCUGAUGGACUCCCCACACAGACAAGCAUUUUAGUGCUUAAUAAUGUGCCAGCAUGCUGAAACUGGAGAAGACUUUGUGGAGGAGAAGCUCAGGUUGGGACCUGAACCUCUAUGCUUCUAAUCUAACUGUGCCUCCUUCCCACCUUUUCCCCGGAAGCUUUGAAGAAGAGCGGGGUAUCAUACGAUACGCUCGCAUGAGACUCAACAGCUUUCUGCACGGACCAGAGCCCGCUUCUGGCCAACUGGAGACCGACAAAAGCCUCAACGCCAGCGACUCCUAGACACGACUGUCUGCAAGCUGUGCUCACAAAGUGCAUCCUCAUCUGAAGACUUGUUAUCUGCAGUGUAUGUCAUUGUAUAUUCUAGUGAUGUAGAUGCAAAUGAUAGAUUAUUUAUCUGAAGUUAACCUCAGGUAAGAUAAUCUGAAUUCUUUCCAGCAGCACUGCUGAUUUAAGUUAAGACCCAGUAUUUAAUUUUUUUAAAUUAUUUUAUUAUAUUGAAUCAUAGCAUAGACUAGAGUAAUUUCUGACAUUGCUGAUUCAUUUGAACAUCUGCAUAUUUUGAGCAGAAAUGUUGCCACCCAAAUUCAUAUGACCUACCCUGAUAAUUGGCAGCUGAGUCAGCAGUAUACGGGUGGUGACAGAACUGAAUAAGCUUCAAUCAAACUGAAGAGUUUUUUUUUUUUUUUUUUUUUAAAAACACUCCCACUCUGGCACUUUUUCUUUUGCAAUUGAAAUUUGUCGGUGAAUCCUGAAAUAUGCCAGAAUUUCUUGAUAAGGACAAAGAUUACCUAGCCACUUGCCUGAUUUCUAUUUUUUUUGUCUUAAUAUUUUUAAAGAUUUGUUUCAAGUUUUCCAUGUCUCCUCACUCAUCAGUGUCAUAAUAUUAAUAAUGUUUAUUAUCAUAUUCCUGUUGUUUUUCAGCGAUAUUUUAACAUGUCCAGCAUUGUGCUUGCUCUCUCACAGAAUCAGGACCUGUACUCGAACCUCAAACAUGCACGUUUGCUAUUUUGAUGGUGUGUGGAGGGUGACAGUAGCCCCCAAAUGUGUCUCCAGUGGGUACUAAUCAUAACUUUCCACACGUCCUUUUCACACCACACUCAUAGUCCGUAUGGCAAACACUGACAUGCAAGGAAUAUGUAGAGGAAUGGGAGAGCCAUUCUAAUGUUAGCUAGAGUGGCUGAUUCAUAUUCUGUUCUGUCCUUUUUUUGUUUAAGUACUGGCAAUAAGUCGAUAUGUGUUCAGUACAGAUAACCGUUAUAAAUGCAUGGAAAAUUUGUUCUUUAUUGAAAUUCUACUUAAAAGCCAUGGAAAAUGAAAUAUAAUUUUUACUUUGCUAAUAUAUAUUUUAAAAAUGUGUGUUUUAUAUGUAUAUAAAAACAGCAAAUCACAGUAAUUCAGACCAGGAUUGUUUGCAUGUUGGCCCUGAUGUAAGUGUACUUCAGAAGGAGCUCAGUUCUGUAAAAUUUCUACUACAACAUAACAUCUGGAUUGGGGGGACUUAACUAUUAAAAUCUCGUGCAUCAUGUCACUUAUGCAAAUUGAAUAAAUGUUGCAUCACAAA